RNAcentral lists this ribosomal RNA (253 nucleotides) under uncultured bacterium. RNAcentral describes it as "partial 16S ribosomal RNA". It matches the Rfam family "Bacterial small subunit ribosomal RNA", at positions 524 to 776 of the family's 1533-position model. The record is from RNAcentral.
UACGAAGGGGGCUAGCGUUGCUCGGUAUUACUGGGCGUAAAGGGCGCGUAGGCGGAUAUCUAAGUCGGGGGUGAAAGCCCAGGGCUCAACCCUGGAAUUGCCUUCGAUACUGGAUAUCUUGAGUUCGGGAGAGGUGAGUGGAAUGCCGAGUGUAGAGGUGAAAUUCGUAGAUAUUCGGCGGAACACCAGUGGCGAAGGCGACUCACUGGCCCGAUACUGACGCUGAGGCGCGAAAGCGUGGGGAGCAAACAGG